Molecule: transfer RNA, 72 nt
Filed under: Halomonadaceae bacterium
Lineage: Bacteria; Pseudomonadati; Pseudomonadota; Gammaproteobacteria; Oceanospirillales; Halomonadaceae
Description: tRNA-Arg
Rfam family: tRNA
About the family: Transfer RNA (tRNA) molecules are approximately 80 nucleotides in length.
Source: RNAcentral
CGCCCGUAGCUCAGCUGGAUAGAGCGCUGCCCUCCGGAGGCAGAGGUCAGAGGUUCGAAUCCUCUCGGGCGC